UACGUAGGGUGCAAGCGUUGUCCGGAAUUAUUGGGCGUAAAGAGCUCGUAGGCGGUUUGUCGCGUCCGCUGUGAAAACCCGAGGCUCAACCUCGGGCCUGCAGUGGGUACGGGCAGACUAGAGUGCGGUAGGGGAGAUUGGAAUUCCUGGUGUAGCGGUGGAAUGCGCAGAUAUCAGGAGGAACACCGGUGGCGAAGGCGGGUCUCUGGGCAGUAACUGACGCUGAGGAGCGAAAGCGUGGGGAGCGAACAGG
RNAcentral lists this ribosomal RNA (253 nucleotides) under uncultured bacterium. RNAcentral describes it as "partial 16S ribosomal RNA". It matches the Rfam family "Bacterial small subunit ribosomal RNA", at positions 524 to 776 of the family's 1533-position model. The record is from RNAcentral.